This 376-nucleotide ribosomal RNA is filed under the name uncultured bacterium. Its description in RNAcentral is "bacterial SSU rRNA". It matches the Rfam family "Bacterial small subunit ribosomal RNA", at positions 524 to 898 of the family's 1533-position model. The record is from RNAcentral.
UACAGAGGGUGCGAGCGUUGUCCGGAAUCACUGGGCGUAAAGGGCGCGUAGGUGGCUUGGUAAGCGUGUGGUGAAAGUCCGGGGCUCAACCCCGGAUCUGCCGUGCGAACUGCCGAGCUUGAGCAUUGUAGAGGCAGGUGGAAUUCCGGGUGUAGCGGUGGAAUGCGUAGAGAUCCGGAAGAACACCAGUGGCGAAGGCGGCCUGCUGGGCAAUUGCUGACACUGAGGCGCGACAGCGUGGGGAGCAAACAGGAUUAGAUACCCUGGUAGUCCACGCCGUAAACGAUGGGUACUAGGUGUCUGGGGGAGCGACCCCCUGGGUGCCGGCGCUAACGCAUGAAGUACCCCGCCUGGGGAGUACGACCGCAAGGUUGAA